UACAUGCAGUCGAACGCACUCUCGUUUAGAUUGAAGGAGCUUGCUCCUGAUUGAUAAACAUUUGAGUGAGUGGCGGACGGGUGAGUAACACGUGGGUAACCUGCCCUAAAGUGGGGGAUAACAUUUGGAAACAGAUGCUAAUACCGCAUAAAACCUAACACCGCAUGGUGUAGGGUUGAAAGAUGGUUUCGGCUAUCACUUUAGGAUGGACCCGCGGUGCAUUAGUUAGUUGGUGAGGUAAAGGCUCACCAAGACCGUGAUGCAUAGCCGACCUGAGAGGGUAAUCGGCCACACUGGGACUGAGACACGGCCCAGACUCCUACGGGAGGCAGCAGUAGGGAAUCUUCCACAAUGGACGAAAGUCUGAUGGAGCAACGCCGCGUGAGUGAAGAAGGUUUUCGGAUCGUAAAACUCUGUUGUUGGAGAAGAAUGUAUCUGAUAGUAACUGAUCAGGUAGUGACGGUAUCCAACCAGAAAGCCACGGCUAACUACGUGCCAGCAGCCGCGGUAAUACGUAGGUGGCAAGCGUUGUCCGGAUUUAUUGGGCGUAAAGCGAGCGCAGGCGGUUUCUUAAGUCUGAUGUGAAAGCCUUCGGCUCAACCGAAGAAGUGCAUCGGAAACUGGGAAACUUGAGUGCAGAAGAGGACAGUGGAACUCCAUGUGUAGCGGUGAAAUGCGUAGAUAUAUGGAAGAACACCAGUGGCGAAGGCGGCUGUCUGGUCUGUAACUGACGCUGAGGCUCGAAAGCAUGGGUAGCAAACAGGAUUAGAUACCCUGGUAGUCCAUGCCGUAAACGAUGAGUGCUAGGUGUUGGAGGGUUUCCGCCCUUCAGUGCCGCAGCUAACGCAUUAAGCACUCCGCCUGGGGAGUACGACCGCAAGGUUGAAACUCAAAGGAAUUGAC
This 903-nucleotide ribosomal RNA is filed under the name Latilactobacillus sakei. RNAcentral's name for it is "bacterial SSU rRNA". It matches the Rfam family "Bacterial small subunit ribosomal RNA", at positions 52 to 914 of the family's 1533-position model. The record is from RNAcentral. Lineage: Bacteria; Bacillati; Bacillota; Bacilli; Lactobacillales; Lactobacillaceae.